RNAcentral lists this ribosomal RNA (1010 nucleotides) under Acinetobacter brisouii. Its description in RNAcentral is "bacterial SSU rRNA". It matches the Rfam family "Bacterial small subunit ribosomal RNA", at positions 35 to 1042 of the family's 1533-position model. Lineage: Bacteria; Pseudomonadati; Pseudomonadota; Gammaproteobacteria; Moraxellales; Moraxellaceae. The record is from RNAcentral.
GCUGCGGCAGGCUUAACACAUGCAAGUCGAGCGGAGCGAGGGUGCUUGCACUUAGCUUAGCGGCGGACGGGUGAGUAAUGCUUAGGAAUCUGCCUAUUAGUGGGGGACAACGUUUCGAAAGGAACGCUAAUACCGCAUACGUCUACGGGAGAAAGCAGGGGAUCUUCGGACCUUGUGCUAAUAGAUGAGCCUAAGUCGGAUUAGCUAGUUGGUGGGGUAAAGGCCUACCAAGGCGACGAUCUGUAGCGGGUCUGAGAGGAUGAUCCGCCACACUGGGACUGAGACACGGCCCAGACUCCUACGGGAGGCAGCAGUGGGGAAUAUUGGACAAUGGGCGAAAGCCUGAUCCAGCCAUGCCGCGUGUGUGAAGAAGGCCUUUUGGUUGUAAAGCACUUUAAGCGAGGAGGAGGCUUCUUUGGUUAAUACCCAAAGUAAGUGGACGUUACUCGCAGAAUAAGCACCGGCUAACUCUGUGCCAGCAGCCGCGGUAAUACAGAGGGUGCAAGCGUUAAUCGGAUUUACUGGGCGUAAAGCGUGCGUAGGCGGCUAAUUAAGUCAAAUGUGAAAUCCCCGAGCUUAACUUGGGAAUUGCAUUCGAUACUGGUUAGCUAGAGUAUGGGAGAGGAUGGUAGAAUUCCAGGUGUAGCGGUGAAAUGCGUAGAGAUCUGGAGGAAUACCGAUGGCGAAGGCAGCCAUCUGGCCUAAUACUGACGCUGAGGUACGAAAGCAUGGGGAGCAAACAGGAUUAGAUACCCUGGUAGUCCAUGCCGUAAACGAUGUCUACUAGCCGUUGGGGUCUUUGAGACCUUAGUGGCGCAGCUAACGCGAUAAGUAGACCGCCUGGGGAGUACGGUCGCAAGACUAAAACUCAAAUGAAUUGACGGGGGCCCGCACAAGCGGUGGAGCAUGUGGUUUAAUUCGAUGCAACGCGAAGAACCUUACCUGGCCUUGACAUACUAAGAACUUUCCAGAGAUGGAUUGGUGCCUUCGGGAACUUAGAUACAGGUGCU